UUUCCUUCUACAAAUCGUGAGCCACUGCCCCCAUCAUUCCUUCCUUCCAUCACCCAGGCACGCCUUGUCCUACCCGAUGACCGGCGCGUCAUUCUCUCCGUCGAACAACAGCAGACGCGUGCGUCUUGGUUCAUGGCAGUAGCGGGCGACGUUUCGUGGCAGUUUGACGAUGUUUUAGGGUGUUUUGUGGCAGCACAGGGUCAUAGCAGCAGCGUUCGGUGUUUGUGGAGGCCGCCCCCCUCGGGUACAGUUUCCACACGCGGCACAACUGCAUCGAUAGCAGUAGGUGUGUUCUAUUUGUUGCGAAAACGCUUGCAACAACUUUCUUUGAAGCAUUUAGCACCUACCCAUGACCGUUUGAAAUCCAAUUGAGGCAACCCACACCCAUUCGAACUUAAUCCAAGUUACCCACACCUAAACGAGGUCGUUUCCGCGGUGUUGAGUCGACGCGAAGUUAGGAGCAUAGCAGUGUGUAAGUAGUACCAGGGGCGGGUGUGUGUGUUGAAUGUGUGCUGAUAGAAAUUGUUUUUGUUGUUUUCUUUGUUAUAAGUGUGUUUCUCUUGCUAUUUUGAUUGUUGGCCACAGUUGUGAAGACGAUACUGCCAUGGAAUCUUGCCAUUUGUUUUUUUUUUGGUUGUUUAUUUGAGAUAUGUAUAUGACUGGUAUCCAUGACUGUUGUUUGUAACCAAGGGAAUUUACUGAUUUGUAUGGUUGGAA
Molecule: non-coding RNA, 717 nt
Organism: Momordica charantia (bitter melon)
Lineage: Eukaryota; Viridiplantae; Streptophyta; Magnoliopsida; Cucurbitales; Cucurbitaceae
Source: RefSeq, a predicted model, not a curated record